This is a non-coding RNA of Dipodomys ordii (Ord's kangaroo rat), 58 nucleotides long. Lineage: Eukaryota; Metazoa; Chordata; Mammalia; Rodentia; Heteromyidae. The record is from Rfam.
UGGCUCAGUGGUAGAGUGCUUGCCUUGCAUGCAUGAGACCCUGGGUUCGAUUCCUCAG